RNAcentral lists this long non-coding RNA (1135 nucleotides) under Malus domestica (apple). RNAcentral describes it as "long non-coding RNA (MDOM_LNC005783)". The record is from RNAcentral. Lineage: Eukaryota; Viridiplantae; Streptophyta; Magnoliopsida; Rosales; Rosaceae.
AAAAUCAAUUUUUGUAACAUGCUUGAAGGAAGGAACUCAAAUGAACGUUACAACCUUGUGAGACUUGAGCCUAAACGUUUAUUUGGAGAGUUAAUAAUCUGUGCAUCAUUGUUUUCUAUAGUCCUUGCAUGAUCUCAUUAUUCUUUUCUUGGUUGCUACUUAGAAGGCGUUUCAUCAUUUAGUUCCAAAUGCUAGAACUCAUGCCUAUUUCAUUCAAAGCGUGCUAUUGAUUUGCAUAACACAUAUUCAAGAUGAAGUUGUGUAGUGAUCACCAAAGCCAAAUUGCCGUGCCCCUAUUUCAUUAUGUGUUUAAGUUUAAACCCGUUGAGCCUUGUUAAGCCUAUGUUCUUUGUUAACCCACACUUUCCUUACCUAGCCUAGGUUUAGGACCAUCCAUACCCUUAUUCUGGAAGCAUAGUAAAGCAUGACUUAAAAUGAACUCCUUUUUUAUCAAUGUAUUACAGAAAGCAAGUGUGGGGGAAGUGAUUCUUGUGUGUGUGUGUGUGUGCCAAAGUCCUUAAUAAGGCACGGGUAGAAAAGAAAAAAAAGAAUUGAAAAGAGUAUGAAAAAGAGCUCUAAAGUGUUGUUUGUUAAAAAAGGGUCCAAAACAUUGAAUUCGGCCCUAAGUGGUGUUGCAUGAAUCUUCCCUUUGUAUUUAAAAGUUGAUUCUGCAUUCUAAAGUGAAUUCCAAGUGUCUAUUUCAUUGCUUUGCUUGCUAUCGCUUUAAGAACGUUUGUUAUUCUUACCCUUUCUUUAUUAGCCAUUACCCCAAGCCCUGUUACAACCCUUGACUUCAAUCUUGAGUGUUGUGUGUUUCAAUUUGUGGAGUUCGAAAUUGGUAUGAGCAUAUGGUGUCAUUGGUUCUCGCAUCUAAGUAGUAGCAUUCCAUUCAUGAGAUCAUAUCUAAACAUGCUUAAUAACUCCAGAAAAUUGCUUUCUUUGUUAUAACAUAUGUGAGUCCUAGUCUUUCGUGUUUACAUUAAUCUUCUCACAUAUCUUGUAAGAAGUUGAGCAAAUUCUCGAAGGCAUGUUACUACAUUAAAAACAUCGUUUUAAUUGGUUAAUUGUGAACUAGUAAGUGAUGAUUGUGAUUAAGUAUGUGCUCAAGUGUAAAGAUGACCAAAAUAUGUGGGAA